RNAcentral lists this transfer RNA (88 nucleotides) under Aeromonas phage Ah1. RNAcentral describes it as "tRNA-Ser". It matches the Rfam family "tRNA". Rfam says of the family: Transfer RNA (tRNA) molecules are approximately 80 nucleotides in length. Their secondary structure includes four short double-helical elements and three loops (D, anti-codon, and T loops). The record is from RNAcentral. Lineage: Duplodnaviria; Heunggongvirae; Uroviricota; Caudoviricetes; Pantevenvirales; Straboviridae. RNAcentral also lists the same sequence under 1 other name.
GGAGAAAUGACAGAGAGGCCGAACGUAUCGGAUUGCUAAUUCGUAGGCCCGCAAGGGUCCGUGGGUUCGAAUCCCACUUUCUCCUCCA